Molecule: long non-coding RNA, 317 nt
Filed under: Salmo salar (Atlantic salmon)
Lineage: Eukaryota; Metazoa; Chordata; Actinopteri; Salmoniformes; Salmonidae
Description: lncRNA (ENSSSAG00000095043.1, ENSSSAG00000119513.1)
Source: RNAcentral
GUGUAGUAGACCUUACAGUGAAAUGCUGAAUACAACAGGUGUAGUAGACCUUACAGUGAAAUGCUGAAUACAACAGGUGUAGUAGACCUCACAGUGAAAUGCUGAAUACAACAGGUGUAGUAGACCUCACAGUGAAAUGCUGAAUACAACAGGUGUAGUAGACAUCACAGUGAAAUGCUGAAUACAACAGGUGUAGUAGACCUCACAGUGAAAUGCUGAAUACAACAGGUGUAGUAGACCUCACAGUGAAAUGCUGAAUACAACAGGUGUAGUAGACCUCACAGUGAAAUGCUGAAUACAACAGGUGUAGUAGACCU